AUGCUAGCACGAACAUCGCCCGGGGAUACAUGUUUCCCCACGGACGUGCUGGUGGAGAUUCUGUUGCGGCUCCCGCCGAGCGCGAGGCGCCGAGCCCGCCUCGUCUGCAGGCUCUGGCGCGACGUCGUCGACGAGCGCACCACGGAGAUGCAGAGCCGUGCCACGGUCCUCCUUUGGCACGCCGCCUCCACCAUCGCCUACGUUGUCGACGACCUCUCGUCAUCCUCGACGGGGAGCUAUAGCCUGCUGUGGAGCGGUCGCCAGCAGCUGGUCGGCACGUGCAACGGCCUGCUAUGCCUCUGCGACGACGGCGGGGACAUCACCCUGGUCAACCCAGCAACAAGAGAGACGCUGCCCGUCCCACGGCGGCCGCCAUGCGCCGGCCAAAUAUUCGGCGAGGACAGGAGGUGGCACAGGGAAUACAACUUCGCGUACCAUCCCACAACAGGGCGGUACAAGGUGGUGCACGUCCCGUGCAGCUUCAACCGGGUCCGCGACGCGGUGCACGUGCUCACGCUUGGGGAUGAGGCGUGGCGAGAGGUGCCAGCCCCCGGUAACAAGAGGUGCAACCUCGACGGCGGCAUUGUCAGUGUGGACGGCGUGACAUAUUGGGUCACCGACGGCGGCGGCACCGCGAGGAUCAUCUCUUUCGACCUCGACAGCGAGCACAUCGCCGUCUCCGCCACAUCUCUGCCGUUUCUGCCUGCGAGGCACAACGACUACAGCCUGACCGAGGUGCACGGGAGGCUGGGAGUCAUCGUCAGCAACCCGGCGGGGAUGAUGCAAGCGUGGGUUCGGAACAAGGAGGGGAGGUGGAUCUGCCGGUACACCCUCGCAUGUCCCAUGCACGAGAUUCCAAGGCCGCACUUCGCAUACGGCGAACACUUUUUGAAGUGCGAGGGGCAGUUGUUGUAUGCAUACCCGCGGCAAGGCGCAUUAUCGCCGUUCGGCUCAAGGCUUGCGUCCAACAUCGUGCAGGUCAAUCACAGGGAUAGGGGAGUGUUGGUCGCUAAGAUGAAUGGUGUGGGCUGGAGAUUUAACUACCGAACGUUUGCUCACGUCAAGACAUUGGAGCCCUUAGGUAUUUAUAUGCGGCCGCAAAAAUGUGCUAGUAUUUGUUGA
RNAcentral lists this ribosomal RNA (1122 nucleotides) under Triticum aestivum (bread wheat). RNAcentral's name for it is "partial small subunit ribosomal RNA". Lineage: Eukaryota; Viridiplantae; Streptophyta; Magnoliopsida; Poales; Poaceae. The record is from RNAcentral.